GUGGGGAAUAUUGGACAAUGGGGGGAACCCUGAUCCAGCCAUGCCGCGUGUGUGAAGAAGGCCUUUUGGUUGUAAAGCACUUUAAGCGAGGAGGAGGCUACCGAGAUUAAUACUCUUGGACAGUGGACGUUACUCGCAGAAUAAGCACCGGCUAACUCUGUGCCAGCAGCCGCGGUAAUACAGAGGGUGCAAGCGUUAAUCGGAUUUACUGGGCGUAAAGCGCGCGUAGGUGGCCAAUUAAGUCAAAUGUGAAAUCCCCGAGCUUAACUUGGGAAUUGCAUUCGAUACUGGUUGGCUAGAGUAUGGGAGAGGAUGGUAGAAUUCCAGGUGUAGCGGUGAAAUGCGUAGAGAUCUGGAGGAAUACCGAUGGCGAAGGCAGCCAUCUGGCCUAAUACUGACACUGAGGUGCGAAAGCAUGGGGAGCAAACAGGAUUAGAAACCCUUGUAGUCC
RNAcentral lists this ribosomal RNA (451 nucleotides) under uncultured bacterium. RNAcentral's name for it is "partial 16S ribosomal RNA". It matches the Rfam family "Bacterial small subunit ribosomal RNA", at positions 354 to 796 of the family's 1533-position model. The record is from RNAcentral.